Molecule: long non-coding RNA, 2328 nt
Organism: Callithrix jacchus (white-tufted-ear marmoset)
Lineage: Eukaryota; Metazoa; Chordata; Mammalia; Primates; Cebidae
Source: Ensembl
GCUUUAGAAAGGAAUCAAUUUGUUGAUGUGUGCUGACCAUUUCCCACUUUCUUUUCUGUCUUCACGCAAGUAGCAGAGGCCCCUGAGUGGCAGAGGUACAGGUAUGGGAUUGGCCCUUGUUCUUACCUGGCAAGGUGCCAGGCCAGGAUGCAUUCACUACCUCCUCCUGAACAAUGGCAUCCACGUCAUUCUGCGUUUCUAUAGCAGACCCAUGGCCAGUCCAGCCAAUGGCCACUCCUCUCUGCCUUACCAAGAGAACCUUCAUUCAACUCUGCAAAACUCAUCCUCCUUGCUGCCAGGGGCUCACUGAAGUCAAGUGACUUCUGCAAAAUCUUUAUCUUUCUCGAUAAAAGACACAGACAUGGCCACAGUUUCCUCUUCUCCCACUUCUUACUGUCUUGGAGAUAGACAUGAUAUCUGGAGCUACAGCAGCCCUUUCGAAACCAAGAGGAAACUGAGCCAACCUGACGAAGACAAGAAAAAGCCUGCGUGCCUAAUGGCAUCAUCCAGCAGUGGGACCAAGGCCAGCAACCUGCGACUGCUGCGUUUCUCAGCAUGUGGGACACACGAGACCCUCUGCUCUGGUGGUUGGACUCCCUGCUUCUAGCAGCAGACAUGGAUCAGCCUCACACACAGGCUGUUCCUUUGUUCAACAUGGCUGGUCUCGAACUCCUGGGCUCAAACAACCCUUUUGCCUCGGCCUCCAGAAGUCCUGGGAUUGCAGGCGUCAGCCACCGCACCCUCCAUCUUCUUCGUGGAAAGCUGUCAGUGAAGAAGCCACGAGUGACUGGUGAUGUUCUAUUUGCUCAGUCACAACCUUAGAGGCAUGGGGUUUUCUUUUUCUUUUGGUGGAGACAGGAGAGUGGGAGCCAAAAUUUGUCACGGUAAAGGCUGCCACCUUCGUGUCCUCACCAAAAGAAAAAGAAACUUACGCAUCUAAGAUUGUGACUGAGCAAACAGAACACUAACUUAAGGAAAUUUCUCCACCGUUGCAUUCACUGAAGGAAAGGGCUGUGUUGCUCUCUGCACUAUUUAGAGAGAAUGUGAGUUAGGAACUGUUGGAAGAGACAUUCAUAGAUGUGAAAUUUUUGUCAUGAUGAAACUAAUGCUGUGUUAAUAAGAAACAGACGAAGGGUCCAUCUGUUCAAUUCCUUUCUCUUCUUGAGAGGAUAUAGCAGAAUUAUGGUUCAGCAGCCCUGAGGACAGUUACAUGAUAGGCUUUCUCAUGUCAAACGUGUGGAAAGAUAGUGUGAGGUCGAAGUUUCAGGUGUUGUAAAUAAAUAUCCUGUGACCCAAAUGACUUUUUAAUUAGCUUUAUUUCUAUCAAGAAAAAAAAAUCCAGAAUGCUGUUGCAACCAAGCGAAUGAAUGACCGCAGGGUGUCCCUGGGAGGCUGGAGAGUGACGACAGGGCUGAGCACCAGACCGGCCUCCUCUCGUGCCACCGUAUCACACGGCACCCUGAGGAAGCCAAGGGAGUGGGAGAGAGGCCUGGAUUGCCCCCACUAUGGGCUGAAUUGUGUGCCCCCAAAAUUCACCUGCUGAAGUCCUAAGCCCCAGUCCCUCAAUGUGUGCCUUUAUUUGGAAAUAGGCUUGUUGCAGAUGUAAGUUGUUGAGAUGACAUCAUGCUGGAAUAAGGUGGACCCAGUAAUCCAAUAUGACUGGGUUUUAAAAAUUUUGAAUUUAAUUGAAUUUAACUUAAAGUUCUGGGUUGCAUGCGUAGAAGUGCAGGUUUGUUACAUAUGUAAACGUGUGCCAUGGUGGUGUGUUGCACAGAUCAACCGUCACCUAGGUAUUAAACCCAGCAUGCAUUAGCUAUUCUUCCUGAUGCUCUCCCUCCCUGUGACCCACCAACGGGCCCCAGUGUGGGUGGUUCUCCUCCCUGUGUCCAUAUGUUCCCAUUGUUCAGCUCCUCCUUAUAAGUGAGAACAUGCAGUGUUUGGUUUUCUGUUCCUGCCUUAGUUUGCUGAGGAUAAUGGCUUCCAGCUCCAUCUACGUCCCUGCAGAGGACAUGACCUCAUUCCUUUUUAUGGCUGCAUAGUAUUCCUUGGUGUAUAUGUACCACGUUUUCUUUAUCCAGUCUAUUAUUGAUGGGCAUUUGGGUUGAUUCCAUGCUUUGCUAUUGUGAACAGUGCUUCAAUGAAUACAUGCGUGUAUCUUUAUAACAGAAUGAUUUCUAUUCCUUUGGAUAUGUACCCAGUUAGGAGAUUUCUGGGUCAAAUGGUAUUUGACACAUCAUCACACUGUCUUCCAAAACGGUUGAACUAAUUUAUAUUCUCACCAACGGUGUAAAAGCGUUUCUAUUUCUCUACAGCCUCACCAGCAUCUGU